Molecule: ribosomal RNA, 1361 nt
Filed under: uncultured bacterium
Lineage: Bacteria
Description: bacterial SSU rRNA
Rfam family: Bacterial small subunit ribosomal RNA
Source: RNAcentral
GAUGAACGCUAGCUACAGGCUUAACACAUGCAAGUCGAGGGGCAGCAUGGUCUUAGCUUGCUAAGGCCGAUGGCGACCGGCGCACGGGUGAGUAACGCGUAUCCAACCUGCCUUACACUCUUGGACAGCCUUCUGAAAGGGAGAUUAAUACAAGAUGUUAUCAUGAGUAAGCAUUUUCGCAUGAUUAAAGGUUUACCGGUGUAAGAUGGGGAUGCGUUCCAUUAGAUAGUAGGCGGGGUAACGGCCCACCUAGUCUUCGAUGGAUAGGGGUUCUGAGAGGAAGGUCCCCCACAUUGGAACUGAGACACGGUCCAAACUCCUACGGGAGGCAGCAGUGAGGAAUAUUGGUCAAUGGACGAGAGUCUGAACCAGCCAAGUAGCGUGAAGGAUGAAGGUUCUAUGGAUUGUAAACUUCUUUUAUACGGGAAUAAACGGAUCCACGUGUGGAUUUUUGCAUGUACCGUAUGAAUAAGGAUCGGCUAACUCCGUGCCAGCAGCCGCGGUAAUACGGAGGAUCCGAGCGUUAUCCGGAUUUAUUGGGUUUAAAGGGAGCGUAGAUGGGUUGUUAAGUCAGUUGUGAAAGUUUGCGGCUCAACCGUAAAAUUGCAAUUGAUACUGGCAGUCUUGAGUACAGUUGAGUAGGGGCGGAAUUCGUGGUGUAGCGGUGAAAUGCUUAGAUAUCACGAAGAACUCCGAUUGCGAAGGCAGCUUACUAACCUGUAACUGACAUUGAUGCUCGAAAGUGUGGGUAUCAAACAGGAUUAGAUACCCUGGUAGUCCACACGGUAAACGAUGAAUACUCGCUGUAGGCGAUAUACAGUCUGCGGCCAAGCGAAAGCAUUAAGUAUUCCACCUGGGGAGUACGCCGGCAACGGUGAAACUCAAAGGAAUUGACGGGGGCCCGCACAAGCGGAGGAACAUGUGGUUUAAUUCGAUGAUACGCGAGGAACCUUACCCGGGCUUAAAUUGCAACCGAAUAUGGCGGAAACGCUAUAGCUAGCAAUAGCGGUUGUGAAGGUGCUGCAUGGUUGUCGUCAGCUCGUGCCGUGAGGUGUCGGCUUAAGUGCCAUAACGAGCGCAACCCUUGCCGAUAGUUACUAACAGGUUAUGCUGAGGACUCUGUCGGGACUGCCAUCGUAAGAUGUGAGGAAGGUGGGGAUGACGUCAAAUCAGCACGGCCCUUACGUCCGGGGCUACACACGUGUUACAAUGGGGGGUACAGAGGGCUGCUACCACGCAAGUGGAUGCCAAUCCCAAAAACCUCUCUCAGUUCGGAUUGAAGUCUGCGACCCGACUUCAUGAAGCUGGAUUCGCUAGUAAUCGCGCAUCAGCCACGGCGCGGUGAAUACGUUCCCGGGCCU